UGCGACCAAAAUUAGCUUGUGGUAAUAGCCUACUGUAACCGAAAAAAAUAUACAGGCAUUCAAUUACAUGAUUCAAAUAAUGCAUAUAUGAUGUAGAUUCAUCGAACAUCAAAGUUUGCAUAGCCAAUAUCCAUCACAAUAAACUGUAAUAUAAUUUAGCAUGCAUUCAAUAUACUGAAUGUGCCAUCCUAAUUAAGAGCGAAGAUUAAAUUGUCCGUGGUCUAGAGUCCAUUCCAGCUAAAUCUUUGGAUCCUGCUAUGAAGAAAUCAGAAAUUUAUUUAGCUCAAGUUAAUUGAAAAUAGAAAAUACUUAGUCAGGAAAAUAAAGAAACAACACAACGACUAAAUAGCAGAAAGAUAUAACCACUAUCAUGACAAUUGUAUAAUUACUAUAUUCGUGCAUGCAUGAGUAUCUUCCUGACGAAUUGUCAUGACCACAACAGCUAGCAAGCAAAUUCUUGUGCCUGUUGUACUACUCCAUCAACAAUUAGGUGCUAUGCAAAAGGAAAUGGAUAAUUUCACAAAAGAUUUUGUAGUUCAAACACAAGAAUAAUUACCUAAAUUAAUCAAACAAAAUUUCUCCAAAACAACUACAUGCUCGCACAAGUUCACAAUUUCUAAUGGUGAGAAAACUGUUCUAUUUCUGGCUUCCCUACUGUAUGUGCUUCAGCAACAAAAAGAGUAAAAUAGUGCAAGCAAGUAGAUGAUUGCACAUUAUGAAGGCCAUUUACGUAUCAAAUAUUGGCCAUGAAGACAAACCAAGCUUGUGACUUACCAUUGCUCGAAACAUUCGAGAAUUCAUUGUUACAACUUGUAUGAGCGUAUUUGGAGCAACUACAUUGUGCCUUGUACCUAGAGUCCCAGUAGUACUAGCGGUCGGUCUGUAAAAGAGAAUUUUGCAAGUUUGGAUUCCUAUUUUAUUUGCCAGUCCUUUUCUUAGGCAUCUGCAAAUAGAAGUGCACUUUUAGCAAUGCAAGUAAGCAAAUAAAUCUGACAAGUUCGCAAGCAUAUGACUAUAAUCACCUGAUGUGUUUGCGUCUGUUAGAUCACCAGCAGGAUCUUGCGUUGAAUUCAUCAUUGUGCCCUUCUGUACGUAAUAUCAUAAUUUGAGUCAAUUUCAGAAGAAAUGCGAUACUUAAAGCAGUCAUAAAAAAUAUCUAUUCAAGUCUAUACUGAAG
RNAcentral lists this long non-coding RNA (1177 nucleotides) under Triticum aestivum (bread wheat). RNAcentral's name for it is "long non-coding RNA (TAES_LNC001910)". The record is from RNAcentral. Lineage: Eukaryota; Viridiplantae; Streptophyta; Magnoliopsida; Poales; Poaceae.